RNAcentral lists this ribosomal RNA (254 nucleotides) under uncultured Singulisphaera sp. RNAcentral describes it as "partial 16S ribosomal RNA". It matches the Rfam family "Bacterial small subunit ribosomal RNA", at positions 524 to 776 of the family's 1533-position model. Lineage: Bacteria; Pseudomonadati; Planctomycetota; Planctomycetia; Isosphaerales; Isosphaeraceae. The record is from RNAcentral.
GACGAACCGUGCGAACGUUAUUCGGAAUCACUGGGCUUAAAGCGCGUGUAGGCGGGUCGACGCGUCGGUCGCUGAAAUCCCCCGGCUUAACCGGGGAACGGGCGCCGAAACGGUCGGCCUGGAGGGGAGUAGGGGGGCCUGGAACUUCCGGUGGAGCGGUGAAAUGCGUUGAGAUCGGAAGGAACGCCCGCGGCGAAAGCGAGGCCCUGGACUCCAUCUGACGCUGAGACGCGAAAGCCAGGGGAGCGAACGGG